UGUAGAAGGAUAUCCGGCCCUGGGGGUGGAGGAGGGCCCAGAGGGCAGGUUCAGUUAGACUGGGCAAUGCCAGAGAAACAUCCGAACACUGACCGACUUCCGACCACUCUGUGGUUCAACAGAUGCUUCCUGGAGGCCGGCUCUGGGCCAGGCCACACUGGCGUCCCUGCCUUCACAGAGGAACCGCCAGAGGUCACUGCAGCUGCUGCCGCCCCUUCCCUCCAGGUUUGCACACAGCCAUGAAGCCUGGACCUGUGGCAGCCAUCUUGUGAACGUGAGGCAAGAAGCAGGGGCCGAAAGCCAAGUCGCCCACGAUGGUGAAGCAGAAAAGAAGUCUGGGUUCCUGACGGUGGUGCUGAGCGGCAGAAUGGAUUUCUAACUACCUAAGGGCAGAGUGAAUGAAAGGGGAAAGUGAUAGUGAGGGGGUGGGAGGGGACAGGGAAUACCAGUAGGUCUCCAGUUUGGGCAAAUGGGUGGACGGCGGUACCAUCACUGAGAAAUGGCCUAAGGGCGGAAGAGGAGCAGGUCCGGGAGGAAGGUGCUGAGCUCAAGCCUGGAUGGGCUGAAUUUGGUGAGGGACACCCAGGGUGAGAAGCCAAGCAGAUCGGGGGCUAAGAGGUGAAGUCUGGCUGGAGAUCCGGGAGGCCUGGCACAGAGAUGGAGGUAAGCAGGACUGUAUGUAAGGUAAAAAUGGAGCCAACCGGGUCAGCAGCUGCAGGACACCCUGUGCCCAGGUCUCAUGUGUUCCGCAGGGGCCUCCUGUCGCAGGGGGGGAACCACAGAUGAACAACACUUUCUUCCAGGUGGGGAGCCAAUUGAAAGCAAUGAGUGGGGCGGAUGCUGGGUGCUGAGGGCCUGGCAGGGCUGUCGAGGUUGGUGUGGGGAGGAGCCUGAGGGGGGGCCCCCUGAGGAAGCAGGACCUGGGCUGGGGGCAGAGGUCCCUGGUUGCCUACCCAGUAUCAGAUCCCUCUUCCUCUUUUCUAGCAGAUCUCAUUCCACCACAGACAGCACCUGCCCGGACUAAAAGACUACUUUCCCAGUCUCCCUUGCAGCUGGGAGUGACCGAUGAAACGUGUGAUGUUUUUUGGUGGGGCUGCCUGGAAAGUUCUAUAAAUGUGGGUGUGGGGAGACAGCUGGGCGGUGCCACGCUUGACCUUCCACCUUCCUUCUGCCUCCUGCCUGGAGCGAGGCGUGACGGAGGGGGCUCCAGCAGCCAUUUGGUUUAUGAGGGGCCCUGGAGGCUAGAAGCCAGUGCUGGGUAUCCAGUGACAUUGUGGUACCACCACACCAGCCCCGACCACCUGUUUUCACAUUUCUUUCAUGCAAAAGAGAAAAACCUAUUAAUCUGUUUAAA
Aethalodelphis obliquidens (Pacific white-sided dolphin) is the source of this 1354-nucleotide long non-coding RNA. RefSeq lists it as uncharacterized. NCBI's taxonomy places the organism in Eukaryota, Metazoa, Chordata, Mammalia, Artiodactyla, Delphinidae. The transcript has 2 exons. The record is from RefSeq and is a predicted model, not a curated record.